Molecule: ribosomal RNA, 497 nt
Filed under: uncultured bacterium
Lineage: Bacteria
Description: partial 16S ribosomal RNA
Rfam family: Bacterial small subunit ribosomal RNA
Source: RNAcentral
GAUGAACGCUGGCGGCGUGCCUAAUACAUGCAAGUCGAGCGAACGGACGAGAAGCUUGCUUCUCUGAUGUUAGCGGCGGACGGGUGAGUAACACGUGGAUAACCUACCUAUAAGACUGGGAUAACUUCGGGAAACCGUAGCUAAUACCGGAUAAUAUUUUGAACCGCAUGGUUCAAAAGUGAAAGACGGUCUUGCUGUCACUUAUAGAUGGAUCCGCGCUGCAUUAGCUAGUUGGUAAGGUAACGGCUUACCAAGGCAACGAUGCAUAGCCGACCUGAAAGGGUGAUCGGCCACACUGGAACUGAGACACGGUCCAGACUCCUACGGGAGGCAGCAGUAGGGAAUCUUCCGCAAUGGGCGAAAGCCUGACGGAGCAACGCCGCGUGAGUGAUGAAGGUCUUCGGAUCGUAAAACUCUGUUAUUAGGGAAGAACAUAUGUGUAAGUAACUGUGCACAUCUUGACGGUACCUAAUCAGAAAGCCACGGCUAACUACGUG